UGGAAGUGUGCCUGAAAUUUAAGGACAACCUUGAUAGGGUUGAAAAUAGGGGUUAAACCCCCUCAUUUCC
This 70-nucleotide transfer RNA is filed under the name Anolis cuprinus (Chiapas anole). Its description in RNAcentral is "tRNA-Ile". The record is from RNAcentral. Lineage: Eukaryota; Metazoa; Chordata; Lepidosauria; Squamata; Anolidae.